This 508-nucleotide ribosomal RNA is filed under the name uncultured bacterium. Its description in RNAcentral is "partial 16S ribosomal RNA". It matches the Rfam family "Bacterial small subunit ribosomal RNA", at positions 28 to 507 of the family's 1533-position model. The record is from RNAcentral.
GACGAACGCUGGCGGCGUGCCUAAUACAUGCAAGUCGAACGCUUCUUUCCUCCCGAGUGCUUGCACUCAAUUGGAAAGAGGAGUGGCGGACGGGUGAGUAACACGUGGGUAACCUACCCAUCAGAGGGGGAUAACACUUGGAAACAGGUGCUAAUACCGCAUAACAGUUUAUGCCGCAUGGCAUAAGAGUGAAGGGCGCUUUCGGGUGUCGCUGAGGGAUGGACCCGCGGUGCAUUAGCUAGUUGGUGAGGUAACGGCUCACCAAGGCCACGAUGCAUAGCCGACCUGAGAGGGUGAUCGGCCACACUGGGACUGAGACACGGCCCAGACUCCUACGGGAGGCAGCAGUAGGGAAUCUUCGGCAAUGGACGAAAGUCUGACCGAGCAACGCCGCGUGAGUGAAGAAGGUUUUCGGAUCGUAAAACUCUGUUGUUAGAGAAGAACAAGGACGUUAGUAACUGAACGUCCCCUGACGGUAUCUAACCAGAAAGACACGGCUAACUACGUG